GGUUCAAGACAGGGAUUCUGAGAUAUAGCGCGUUUGCUCAAUCUAAACGCUAAUGACAGCAAUAAUUUAACAAACCUAGUAAAUGACUUUUUCGCAAAUCAUUGGUAAGAUGAUACAGAAUGUCCAGAGACCAGCUUGGCAAAUUCGAUCAAUGUUUGGAUCACUUCGACUCCGUUAUGGAAAAUGACGCCAUGAAGGAAUACAACGUUUUUACUACGGACUGUGAAUUCGACCAGCUUGAGUGGGAAAAGGCCUCAAAGUUCAGGGGAUCAAAUGCUUAUCCUCCUGGGGAAGAUUUCGUGUUCAAUUAACUGAGACCACAAACUCAUCAAAAAAGAAGGAACAAACCCCCCGUCAGCGACAGCGCACCUUCUACUGGAUGGAAAGCAGUUAUGCCGAGAUACUUUAAAAUUAUAAAAAGGUAUCAACAUUUUAGGUUUGAUGAUGAGCAUCCUGGAAUGUUUUUUGUCAAAAAAAGAGGCAGGCAGUGACGAAUUUCCUUUCCAGAUGCUUCUGCAAGGCAUGGAUUUCCCAGAUGGAGAACCGGUUAUCCUGACUCCUCCUGAAUUAUCACUCCAGAGGCAACAGUACCUGUAUAAGAACAUCCGCCCUUUUGUUGAUGAUCCCUACAAGGACACUAUUUGUCCAAGGCCCGAGGUCCUACUAUUUAAUGAUUCUGACAAAAGUGCUGGAGAAAUAGACAUUGCGAUGAACCUGGUCUAAGGAUGCUGAACUGGGUCGUGCGUGGGGCCGUGACCGGGGGUGUGGUCAGCGACCGAGAGACAGGAGUCGAAGCCCUCACUAGGCCACUAGGAUAAUGGCAAAACAAUAAAAACACUUUGUGGACUGUUUAAGAUGAGGAAACGAUCGCACUUCAGUCGGAACUGGAGGCUGUGGAGAAGCAGAUCCAGGAUCUACUAGAGAAGCAGACACGGCUGCGAGAACGAAAAACGGCGCUGGAAACAUCCAGAGCUGAGGCUCGCAAAUCCGUGGUAAGUUUUCAUCGCGAUUUUAAUACUCCUUCCACUUCUACUCCGCGUGUUUCUCUGCACAGAGCCCACGCUUCGAGAACACGGUCAGCCCAAAUGAACUUCACUCCUGCACCGGCACACCCACGGCGAAAGGCUCGAGUUAGGACUGGAGCGAUGACCCAACCGCCGCCACCGGUCUUCGAGAUCCCGACCAGGAACCGCUUUGCCGCCCUCUGCGAGACGGAAUGCAACGCUGUGGUCAUCGGAGACUCAAUCGUCCGGAACGUACGCGCUUUCUCCACUAAAGGUAAGGUGCACACUCAUUGUUUUCCUGGCGCCCGUGUUCUUGAUGUCUCUGCGCAGGUACCUGCGAUCCUGAAGGACGAUGCUAACGUCGGAGCUGUCGUGCUGCACGCGGGGGUGAAUGACGUCAGGAUGAGGCAGUCGGAGAUCCUGAAGAGGGACUUCAGGAGUCUGAUCGAGACGGUACGCAACGCAUCGCCCACAGCGAGGAUCAUCGUAUCAGGGCCGCUUCCUACCUACCGACGAGGGAAUGAAAAGUUCAGUAGACUAUUUGCUCUAAAUAAAUGGUUGAUGUCAUGGUGUAUUGAACAGAAGCUGCUCUUUGUUGAUAAUUUUGAUCUGUUCUGGGAGCGACCUAGGCUCUUCCGCCCUGACGGCCUGCACCCCAGCAGCAUCGGAGCGGUUCUUCUGUCUGACAACAUCUCAAAGACGCUACGCACCGCUUGACUACGUCUCCCAGCGGGAGAGAUUCCGCCAGGCCCAGAUGAACGUCAUAUGCCCAUCCACAACUAGAGAUUACGCCAGCUACAUCGGAAAAUCCCGUGCCAUCCUCCUGCGAGAGCCUGCGGACUGACUGACCAUCCCAGCUCCAUCCAAGGCAAUUCCAUCACCACCCAAGAAAAAGGCGACCAUCUGGCCGGCCCAGCUCAGACAAUUCCAUCCCCAGCCGAGAGCAAAGACGGACUACCUGUCACAUAAAUGCUAAAUUUACAAUACUUGGUAUUUAAUGCUAAACUUACAUCACACGACAGCAGUUUGAAGUUAUGGCUGCACUCAGUGACUUUGAUUGGAGGUAGCUGGGUGGGUGUUGUAGGGAGUGGGGGGGGCUUGUUGGUUGUGGUUCGGGGCGUUUCAUUUGUUGGGACUGUGUGGGUCUGGUCUGGUUGGUCUUGUUUUGUGGUCGAUGUCGGACAACAGAGGAAUAAAGUUAAUUAUGCCAUUACUACUUUUCCCUGGUUGUUCCUCUGUUGUCUGUUGUUGAUCGCGGAAUGGGACCGGGUUGGACCUGCACGGUUUCGGCGGGUGGGGCUUCCUGGGUCGCGGCUCGUGGGCUCUCCCUGUUCUUCGUGGACGUUGCUCGGUGGCUUUGGUCGGGGUCACUGAGUGCAGCUAUGACACGUCAGAGGAGAUCUGGCCCUCCCGGCUGAGCCUGGUUUCUCCCGAGGUUUUUUUUUCUCCAUUAUUCAGCAUUGGAGUUUGGGUUCCUCGCCACAGCAGAGCAGUGCAGUGUUGGCUUGCUCACCGGGAGACUGCAUUUAUUUAUUUAUUUAUUCAUUUAUUUAUUAGAUAUUAUUUAUUAUAAUGAUCUUGCUUGGUCUAUAAACACCAUGCACUGUGCUGUGUUUUACCUUUCUGUGUUUUUCUUAUUUGCUCCUGUAAAGCUGCUUUGGAACAAUGCACAUUGUGAAAAGCGCUAUAUAAAUAAAAUUGAAUUGAAUUGAA
Triplophysa rosa is the source of this 2717-nucleotide RNA transcript. RefSeq lists it as uncharacterized. The record is from RefSeq and is a predicted model, not a curated record. NCBI's taxonomy places the organism in Eukaryota, Metazoa, Chordata, Actinopteri, Cypriniformes, Nemacheilidae. The transcript is spliced from 5 exons.